RNAcentral lists this ribosomal RNA (757 nucleotides) under Rahnella aquatilis. RNAcentral describes it as "partial 16S ribosomal RNA". The record is from RNAcentral. Lineage: Bacteria; Pseudomonadati; Pseudomonadota; Gammaproteobacteria; Enterobacterales; Yersiniaceae.
CAGGCGAGUCGACUUAACGCGUUAGCUCCGGCAAGCCACGCCUCAAGGGCACAACCUCCAAGUCGACAUCGUUUACAGCGUGGACUACCAGGGUAUCUAAUCCUGUUUGCUCCCCACGCUUUCGCACCUGAAGCGUCAGUCUUUGUCCAGGGGGCCGCCUUCGCCACCGGUAUUCCUCCAGAUCUCUACGCAUUUCACCGCUACACCUGGAAUUCUACCCCCCUCUACAAGACUCUAGCUUGCCAGUUUCAAAUGCAGUUCCCAAGUUAAGCUCGGGGAUUUCACAUCUGACUUAACAAACCGCCUGCGUGCGCUUUACGCCCAGUAAUUCCGAUUAACGUCUUGCACCCUCCGUAUUACCGCGGCUGCUGGCACGGAGUUAGCCGGUGCUUCUUCUGCGAGUAACGUCAAUCGUUGCAGUUAUUAACUACAACGCCUUCCUCCUCGCUAAAAGUGCUUUACAACCCUAAGGCCUUCUUCACACACGCGGCAUGGCUGCAUCAGGCUUGCGCCCAUUGUGCAAUAUUCCCCACUGCUGCCUCCCGUAGGAGUCUGGACCGUGUCUCAGUUCCAGUGUGGCUGGUCAUCCUCUCAGACCAGCUAGGGAUCGUCGCCUAGGUGAGCCAUUACCCCACCUACUAGCUAAUCCCAUCUGGGCACAUCCGAUGGCGUGAGGCCCGAAGGUCCCCCACUUUGGUCUUGCGACAUCAUGCGGUAUUAGCUACCGUUUCCAGUAGUUAUUCCCCUCCACAGGCAG